This is a long non-coding RNA of Nematostella vectensis (starlet sea anemone), 892 nucleotides long. RefSeq lists it as uncharacterized. NCBI's taxonomy places the organism in Eukaryota, Metazoa, Cnidaria, Anthozoa, Actiniaria, Edwardsiidae. The transcript has 2 exons. The record is from RefSeq and is a predicted model, not a curated record.
UUGGGCCCAAGGCGCAAAACAAUAACCGUAACCAUAGCCUCCAAUCGGAUAGCCGUUUUACUCCCGUCUUUUCUACGCGAAAUUCACCUAUUUUAAGGACUUGGUGAGCAGAACAUGGAUUGAAGUAAAAGGGCCUUAUGAUAGAGAUAGCAAAAUGUGCCCGAGUUGCAAAGCCAGAAAAGAAAGAAAUUUGAGGUACAAGGAACGUAUCAAUGCGUGAAUAGCAAGAAUCGAAUAAAAACUUUUCAAACUGAUACACAAAUUCACUUCUUACAUAUAAAGUUUCUAUGCUUUAUAAACUGUUGCUUGAAGCACAAAAUUGGCUAACUUAGCUUAGUGAAAACCUAGUAACCAGUCUUGCACUUAAAAUUUGUCCAGGUAUUUAUUUUGAAUAUCCAAUAUUACCGUAGUUGGCCCUUGUCCAGAUAAGUUAUUAUUUUGAUAUUCUGAUUACAGUAAAACCCUGCAAAUGAAGAACCUAGUUAUCUUUUCAUGCUAACCUACUAGGGUUCGAAUUUAAAUGGUGCAUAUAGGCUUAAUGCCUUUAGCUUCUUCUCUGAAUAUACAAAGUUAUAUACUGAGACUAUACAAAGAUUUCUAUUAAAUGUAGCUAGUAUCAUUUUUUCCUAUACCAUUUUACUUCCAUUUUGUUUUAAACUGAGGCACUAGGGUUGCUUGAAUGAGGUUAGAUUAUUUUAAACAUGAAACUCAUCCAAACAGGGUCCACAUAUAUUAGUUGUGCUGGAAUACAUGGGACUGGGCUUCUAAGUCCAAGAUUUUGCACAAAUAGACAAUAGCCUUGUUUAUGUGAGUUCUAUUGUAUGUUUGUAUUUACCUGCAAGAAAAUGUGAUGCACCUGAACUUUGAAUAAAAAGAAUCUUUAUUGUUUUCA